Molecule: long non-coding RNA, 1298 nt
Filed under: Musa acuminata (dwarf banana)
Lineage: Eukaryota; Viridiplantae; Streptophyta; Magnoliopsida; Zingiberales; Musaceae
Description: long non-coding RNA (MACU_LNC002601)
Source: RNAcentral
GCGGUACGCUUCGGUAUGGCAGACCUUGGCUAGAAUACUGAAUAUAGUUCAUAUAUUAUUUUUUUAAAAAAGGUACUUGGUGCACAAGGCUCUAGCCAAUACGAGGUUUGGGGAGGGUCUAUAUAUGUAGCCUUACCAAUAGAAAGAUGCUGAUUUUGUGACUCGAAUGAGAGAGGCUGUGUGCUUAACUUAAAUCUUUUAUUGGUUAUAAAGGAGCAACCUUAUUAUUGUCUUUUUACUGGUUACAACAGAGCAACCUUACCGUUGUAACAAAGGCUUGCCCUCAAAUACCAAGAAUUGUAAUUUUGGUCUGUACCGGUGUACUGAGCUCUACUUGGUACGAUACAUACCGAGGUGUACCUACGGUACGCCCAAAAUCAUCAAAAAACCUCCAAAAAUAUACAAAAAAAUAGAAAAAAAAGUUAGAUUAGGGUUUUUAAGUUAGAAAUAAAUAUAAAUAUAGUAUAAUUUCAGUAAAAAUAAUGUAAAUUAGGAACGAAUAGUGCUAUAUAUCUUUUCUGGGCUUUGAGGAGUAGUUUUAUGGUACGUUCUGGAUCGUCCUUCUAUUAAUAUUGAAUUAUCUACAAAAAAAUUAUUUUAAUUAUUAGAUUACUUUUUAUACAACUUAAACUUUAUGAUUAAAAUGAAUUAAAUAAUAAAUCAAUGGAUAUACUUGGUUCUAUCAUAAAAAAAAAAGACAAGGCUCCACGAGCGGUGGAUCGAGAUCCUCAACCCUAUAUAUCUGUAUAUUAAUAUGAUAUGUUUGUCGGACCCAAUUCUGAAAUUGAUCCCACGACAUAGUAUACUAAGACACCGUUUGCUAUUGGUAUAUCAAUAUGGUGAUGGUCGUAGUCUGAUCAUCAUGAACAACAUGUGUCUGAGGCGGCUCCUAAGGAACGGACGAAUGUGGCAUGUAUUAAUGCGGACUAUAGAAAAUGUCAGAACUUCUACUUUCGCUAUUGAUCUACUACUCUGUAUCAUAUGAUCGAUCAUCGUACUAUUGCUCGAAGAAGCAUGACCAAUUAUCAUCGUGCUGUUGUUAGUUGUAAGAUUCUCCAUAAUACGACGACUAUGAAUAUGAUGAUCUAAUCCAUAAAUUAGAGUGUUCUUCCUCUAGAAAGAGAGUACAUACCACUUGAUUAGAGUAUUCUUCCUCUUAAUCCUCCCAAAUUAGUCUUCUAAAUUUGAUCUAAUCUAUAAAUUGUAGUCUUGUUGAGUUUAGGAGAGUGAAAAUGUGAAAAUAAGUGAGAGAUAUGAGUGAAAAAAAGUUUGAGAGAGUUUAAGAGAUUGAGAGAGUG